AUUGAACGCUGGCGGCGUGCCUAACACAUGCAAGUCGUACGAGAAAGUCCGCUUCGGUGGAUAAGUAAAGUGGCGCACGGGUGAGUAACGCGUGGAUAAUCUACCCUUAAGUUGGGAAUAACUCAUCGAAAGGUGGGCUAAUACCGAAUGAUGCUGGGCAACUACUGUUGCACAGUCAAAGAAGGCCUCUGUUUACAAGCUUUUGCUGAAGGAUGAGUCCGCGUACCAUUAGCUAGUUGGUAGGGUAAUGGCCUACCAAGGCUACGAUGGUUAGCUGGUCUGAGAGGAUGAUCAGCCACACUGGAACUGAGACACGGUCCAGACACCUACGGGAGGCAG
RNAcentral lists this ribosomal RNA (339 nucleotides) under uncultured Pseudomonadota bacterium. Its description in RNAcentral is "bacterial SSU rRNA". It matches the Rfam family "Bacterial small subunit ribosomal RNA", at positions 30 to 351 of the family's 1533-position model. Lineage: Bacteria; Pseudomonadati; Pseudomonadota. The record is from RNAcentral.